AUGGCGAUCGGAGCUGUGCUGUCGCAACAAUGGAGCUUGCUUUUCUCGGUUGCGGCACUCGUGGCUCUAUGGUGGGCCUGGCGGGUGCUGGAGCUGGCCUGGAUCACCCCGCGGAGGCUGGACCGAGCGCUGCGGGCCCAGGGCCUCGGCGGCAGGGCGUACCGCUUCCCGUUCGGCGAUCUGCGGGAGUUUUCCCGGCUGGUCGCCGUGGCCCGGUCGGUGCCCAUGCUGCCGCCGUCACACAAUAUCACAGCGCGGGUGGCCCCCCUGUACCACAGCGUGAUCAAGGAGCACGGGAAGAUCUCCGUGACCUGGUUCGGCCCGACCCCGAGGGUGAUCGUGAACGAUCCAAAACUGGUGCGGGAGAUACUGGCCAACAAGUCCGGGCACUUCCGGAAGCGCAAGUUCAGCAACGGCAUCGUCAGGCGGCUGGCCAACGGGCUGGUGAGCCACGACGGCGAGAAAUGGGCCGCUCACCGGAAGAUCAUCAACCCCGCAUUUCAUCUCGAGAAACUCAAGAAAAUGAUGCCCGCUUUCGUCGCCUGCUGCAAUGAGCUGGUGACUAGGUGGGAGGAUCGCGUGGGGUCCGACGAGGCCAAGGAGAUAGACGUGUGGCCGGAGUUCCAGAACCUCACCGGCGACGUGAUCUCCCGUGCGGCGUUCGGCAGCAGCUUCAGCGAAGGGAGGAGGAUUUUCCAGAUACAGUCGGAGCAGGCCCAGAAUGUGGUGAAGAUGCUGAACACCCUAUACCUCCCAGGUUUCAAGUUCUUGCCGAUGCAACUCAACCGACGGGUGAAGGCGAACGGGCGCGAGGUCGAGUGGCUGCUGAAAGGCAUAAUCGGCAGGAGGGAGAGGGCCAUGAGAGAAGGCAACGCCAGCAACGAUGACCUGCUGGGCGUGCUGAUGGAGUGCAACGCCGCGGAGACCAAGGAAGCCGGGAGCUCCAAGCCCAUCAUGACCAUGGACGACAUCAUCGGGGAGCUGAAGCUCUUCUACUUCGCCGGAAUGGACACCACCGCCGUGCUGCUCACCUGGACGCUGGUGGCGCUGAGCAUGCACCCCGAGUGGCAGGACCGCGCGAGGGAGGAGGUCCUGCGCGUCUUCGGGAAGGAGGACCAGCCGGACCUGGACGGCGUAAACCAGCUCAAGGUGGUGGCCAUGGUGCUGCACGAGGUGCUCAGGCUGUACCCGCCGGUCAUCCAGUUCGACCGGCAGACGUACACGGAGGUGGAGCUGGGCGGCGUCAGGUACCCGCCGGGCGUGAUCCUCUCGCUGCCCAUCGUGUUCCUCCACCAUGACCCGGACGUCUGGGGAGAGGACGCCGACGAGUUCAGGCCGGAGAGGUUCGCCGAGGGCGUCUCCAAGGCGUCCGGGAACUCGUCGUCGUCGGCGUUCUUCCCGUUCGGCUGGGGCCCGCGGAUCUGCGUCGGCCAGAACUUCGCGCUCAUCGAAGCCAAGAUGGCGCUGAGCAGGAUACUGCAGCGCUUCGAGUUCGGGCUGUCGCCAUGCUACAGGCACGCCCCGUUCCCGGUCUCCACCCUGCAGCCUGAUCAUGGCGCGCCCAUCCUGCUCAAGAAACUCUAA
This 1584-nucleotide ribosomal RNA is filed under the name Triticum aestivum (bread wheat). RNAcentral's name for it is "partial small subunit ribosomal RNA". Lineage: Eukaryota; Viridiplantae; Streptophyta; Magnoliopsida; Poales; Poaceae. The record is from RNAcentral.